RNAcentral lists this ribosomal RNA (305 nucleotides) under uncultured bacterium. Its description in RNAcentral is "bacterial SSU rRNA". It matches the Rfam family "Bacterial small subunit ribosomal RNA", at positions 335 to 654 of the family's 1533-position model. The record is from RNAcentral.
GGUCCUACGGGACGCAGCAGUGGGGAAUAUUGGGCAAUGGGCGCAAGCCUGACCCAGCAACGCCGCGUGAAGGAAGAAGGCUUUCGGGUUGUAAACUGCUUUAGACAGGGAAGAAAGAAAUGACGGUACCUGUAGAAUAAGCUCCGGCUAACUACGUGCCAGCAGCCGCGGUAAUACGUAGGGAGCAAGCGUUAUCCGGAUUUAUUGGGUGUAAAGGGUGCGUAGACGGGUAUACAAGUUAGUAGUGAAAUCCCUCGGCUUAACUGAGGAACUGCUACUAAAACUAUAUAUCUUGAGUACUGGAG